Molecule: ribosomal RNA, 267 nt
Filed under: Enterococcus faecium
Lineage: Bacteria; Bacillati; Bacillota; Bacilli; Lactobacillales; Enterococcaceae
Description: partial 16S ribosomal RNA
Rfam family: Bacterial small subunit ribosomal RNA
Source: RNAcentral
UUUUAUGAGAGUUUGAUCCUGGCUCAGGACGAACGCUGGCGGCGUGCCUAAUACAUGCAAGUCGAACGCUUCUUUUUCCAACGGAGCUUGCUCCACCGGAAAAAGAAGAGUGGCGAACGGGUGAGUAACACGUGGGUAACCUGCCCAUCAGAAGGGGAUAACACUUGGAAACAGGUGCUAAUACCGUAUAACAAUCAAAACCGCAUGGUUUUGAUUUGAAAGGCGCUUUCGGGUGUCGCUGAUGGAUGGACCCGCGGGGCAUUAGCU